GAUGAACGCUGGCGGCGUGCCUAAUACAUGCAAGUCGAGCGAACAGACUAGGAGCUUGCUCCUCUCGGGUUAGCGGCGGACGGGUGAGUAACGCGUGGAUAACCUACCUAUUAGACGGGGAUAACUACGGGAAACCGGAGCUAAUACCGCAUAAUAGACGAUACCGCAUGAUUCAGUUGUGAAAGAUGCUAUUGCAGCCAUAAAUAGAUGAACCCGGGUCUCUUAAGUAGGUGGGUAGGUUACCGGCUUACCAAGGCGACGAACCUUAGCCGCCCUGGAGGGGUGAUCGGCCACCCUGGAACUGGGACACGGCCCAGACCCCUCCGGGGGGCAGCGGUGGGGAAUCUUCCGCAAUGGGGCAAAGCCUGCCGGAGCACCGCCCGGUGGGUGAUGAAGGUUUUCGGAUCGUAAAACUCUUUUAUUGGGGAAAACCAAUUGUGUAGGUAACUAUGCACGCCUUGACGGUACCUUAUCAGAAAGCCACGGCUAACUACGUG
This 497-nucleotide ribosomal RNA is filed under the name uncultured bacterium. RNAcentral's name for it is "partial 16S ribosomal RNA". It matches the Rfam family "Bacterial small subunit ribosomal RNA", at positions 28 to 507 of the family's 1533-position model. The record is from RNAcentral.